This 475-nucleotide ribosomal RNA is filed under the name uncultured bacterium. RNAcentral's name for it is "partial 16S ribosomal RNA". It matches the Rfam family "Bacterial small subunit ribosomal RNA", at positions 28 to 523 of the family's 1533-position model. The record is from RNAcentral.
GGUGAACGCUGGCGGCGUGCUUAAGACAUGCAAGUCGAACGCAGUCUUCGGACUGAGUGGCGCACGGGUGAGUAACACGUAACUGACCUACCCCCAAGUCGCGGAUAACUGGCCGAAAGGUCAGCUAAUACGUGAUGUGAUGUCCCCUUUCUGGGGGGCCAUUAAAGGUUUACUGCUUGGGGAUGGGGUUGCGUUCCAUCAGCUAGUUGGCGGGGUAAAGGCCCACCAAGGCAACGACGGAUAGCCGGCCUGAGAGGGUGGCCGGCCACAGGGGCACUGAGACACGGGUCCGACUCGUACGGGAGGCAGCAGUUAGGAAUCUUCCACAAUGGGCGAAAGCCUGAUGGAGCGACGCCGCGUGAGGAAUGAAGGUUCUCGGAUCGUAAACCUCUGAAUCAGGGACGAAAGACGCGUAAGCGGGAUGACGGUACCUGAGUAAUAGCACCGGCUAACUCCGUGCCAGCCGCCGCGGUAA